GAGCUUGCUCCUGGAUUAGUGGCGAACGGGUGAGUAACACGUGAGUAACCUGCCCUUAACUCUGGGAUAAGCCUGGGAAACUGGGUCUAAUACCGGAUAUGACUCCUCAUCGCAUGGUGGGGGGUGGAAAGCUUUUUGUGGUUUUGGAUGGACUCGCGGCCUAUCAGCUUGUUGGUGAGGUAAUGGCUUACCAAGGCGACGACGGGUAGCCGGCCUGAGAGGGUGACCGGCCACACUGGGACUGAGACACGGCCCAGACUCCUACGGGAGGCAGCAGUGGGGAAUAUUGCACAAUGGGCGAAAGCCUGAUGCAGCGACGCCGCGUGAGGGAUGACGGCCUUCGGGUUGUAAACCUCUUUCAGUAGGGAAGAAGCGAAAGUGACGGUACCUGCAGAAGAAGCGCCGGCUAACUACGUGCCAGCAGCCGCGGUAAUACGUAGGGCGCAAGCGUUAUCCGGAAUUAUUGGGCGUAAAGAGCUCGUAGGCGGUUUGUCGCGUCUGCCGUGAAAGUCCGGGGCUCAACUCCGGAUCUGCGGUGGGUACGGGCAGACUAGAGUGAUGUAGGGGAGACUGGAAUUCCUGGUGUAGCGGUGAAAUGCGCAGAUAUCAGGAGGAACACCGAUGGCGAAGGCAGGUCUCUGGGCAUUAACUGACGCUGAGGAGCGAAAGCAUGGGGAGCGAACAGGAUUAGAUACCCUGGUAGUCCAUGCCGUAAACGUUGGGCACUAGGUGUGGGGGACAUUCCACGUUUUCCGCGCCGUAGCUAACGCAUUAAGUGCCCCGCCUGGGGAGUACGGCCGCAAGGCUAA
This 809-nucleotide ribosomal RNA is filed under the name Pseudarthrobacter scleromae. Its description in RNAcentral is "bacterial SSU rRNA". It matches the Rfam family "Bacterial small subunit ribosomal RNA", at positions 76 to 897 of the family's 1533-position model. The record is from RNAcentral. Lineage: Bacteria; Bacillati; Actinomycetota; Actinomycetes; Micrococcales; Micrococcaceae.